AGUUGCGAAGGCGGCUCUCUGGACUGUAACUGACGCUGAGGCACGAAAGCGUGGGGAGCAAACAGGAUUAGAUACCCUGGUAGUCCACGCUGUAAACGAUGAGUACUAGGUGUCGGGGGUUACCCCCCUCGGUGCCGCAGCUAACGCAUUAAGUACUCCGCCUGGGAAGUACGCUCGCAAGAGUGAAACGCAAAGGAAUUGACGGGGACCCGCACAAGUAGCGGAGCAUGUGGUUUAAUUCGAAGCAACGCGAAGAACCUUACCUAAGCUGGACAUCCCAAUGACAUCUCCUUAAUCGGAGAGUUCCCUGCGGGGACAUUGGUGACAGGUGGUGCAUGGUUGUCGUCAGCUCGUGUCGUGAGAUGUUGGGUUAAGUCCCGCAACGAGCGCAACCCUUG
This 398-nucleotide ribosomal RNA is filed under the name Clostridioides difficile. RNAcentral's name for it is "bacterial SSU rRNA". It matches the Rfam family "Bacterial small subunit ribosomal RNA", at positions 711 to 1107 of the family's 1533-position model. The record is from RNAcentral. Lineage: Bacteria; Bacillati; Bacillota; Clostridia; Peptostreptococcales; Peptostreptococcaceae.